Non-coding RNA from Mycena rebaudengoi, 104 nucleotides. The record is from the annotation of a GenBank genome assembly. Lineage: Eukaryota; Fungi; Basidiomycota; Agaricomycetes; Agaricales; Mycenaceae.
GCUCUCGUUGAUUAAUGGUAAAUCACCCACUGACUGUACUGUUCCGAAAUCCGAAUGUCUUGAAUAUUCAAUGGGAGACAGAGGUUCGAAUCCUCCCGAGGGUA